Long non-coding RNA from Rana temporaria (common frog), 485 nucleotides. RefSeq lists it as uncharacterized. NCBI's taxonomy places the organism in Eukaryota, Metazoa, Chordata, Amphibia, Anura, Ranidae. The transcript is spliced from 2 exons. The record is from RefSeq and is a predicted model, not a curated record.
UCGGAUGGGGAGCUGUCUGGUUCGGAGGAGGAGGUCGUGCCCAGGACGGUGCCUACAGCGAGGGAUUCCAGACGAUCGGCUGAUGGGAUUGCUUCCACGCAGCCCGGUACUGGACCUUUGUUGGUCUGGAUUUUGGGCCACUCUUACGUGGUUCGGGGGGAAAAACGGGCGGAGGCGCGCCCGUCCGGUCGGCAACUGGGGAUUUCGAGACAGGAGGCGAGGGUACGGUGGUUGGGGGUCCCCGGGAUGUUAUGGAGCAGAGUUGUGCCGGAGGUACACAAAUGGGCACGUUUGGACAGACCUCCGGAGGUGCUAGUGAUUCAUGCAGGGGGCAAUGAUCUUGGGGUGAGAUCUAUGCUGGAGAUAGCGCGGGAUAUUAAAUUUGAUUUUCAGCGGCUCCGGUUGUCUUUCCCGGAGACGGUAGUGGUGUGGUCGGACAUGGUGGCUAGGACAUCGUGGAGGAUGGCGAGGUCGGUAGACGCGGU